GUAGUCUGCAACCCGACUACAUGAAGCUGGAAUCGCUAGUAAUCGCGGAUCAGAAUGCCGCGGUGAAUACGUUCCCGGGUCUUGUACACACCGCCCGUCACACCAUGGGAGUCGGAAAUGCCCGAAGUCUGUGACCUAACCGCAGGGGGGAGGAACAGCCGAAGGCAGGUCGGAUGACUGGGGUGAAGUCGUAACAAGGUAUC
This 203-nucleotide ribosomal RNA is filed under the name uncultured bacterium. RNAcentral's name for it is "partial 16S ribosomal RNA". It matches the Rfam family "Bacterial small subunit ribosomal RNA", at positions 1300 to 1500 of the family's 1533-position model. The record is from RNAcentral.